Bubalus bubalis (water buffalo) is the source of this 3158-nucleotide long non-coding RNA. RefSeq annotates it as LHFPL tetraspan subfamily member 3. The transcript is spliced from 4 exons. The record is from RefSeq and is a predicted model, not a curated record. NCBI's taxonomy places the organism in Eukaryota, Metazoa, Chordata, Mammalia, Artiodactyla, Bovidae.
UGCAGACUCUGAAACUGGCGCUACUGGGCUGAGGAGGAGGCAGGGGAGUUGCAGCUAGCGCGGCUCGGUGAGUGUGUCUCCUGAGCGCGGAGAGGCGGGGGGGAGGCGGAGGACGAGGAGGAGGAGGAGGAGGGGGAGAAUGCCCGGAGCCGCCGCCGCUGCCGCCGCCGCCGCGAUGCUCCCGGCUCAGGAGGCUGCCAAGCUGUACCACACCAACUAUGUGCGGAACUCGCGGGCCAUCGGCGUGCUGUGGGCCAUCUUCACCAUCUGCUUUGCCAUCGUCAACGUGGUGUGCUUCAUCCAGCCCUACUGGAUCGGCGACGGCGUGGACACCCCGCAAGCUGGCUAUUUCGGGCUCUUCCACUACUGCAUCGGCAACGGCUUCUCCCGGGAGCUGACCUGCAGGGGCAGCUUCACGGACUUCUCCACGCUGCCCUCGGGCGCCUUCAAAGCCGCCUCCUUUUUCAUCGGCCUCUCCAUGAUGCUCAUCAUUGCCUGCAUCAUUUGCUUUACCCUCUUCUUCUUCUGCAACACGGCUACGGUGUACAAGAUCUGUGCCUGGAUGCAGCUCACCUCCGCUGCCUGCCUUGUGCUUGGCUGUAUGAUUUUCCCUGAUGGCUGGGAUUCAGAUGAAGUAAAACGGAUGUGUGGAGAAAAGACAGACAAGUACACUCUUGGGGCUUGUUCAGUCCGCUGGGCCUACAUCCUGGCUAUCAUUGGGAUUUUGGAUGCCCUCAUCCUCUCGUUUCUGGCAUUCGUGCUUGGUAACCGACAAGACAGCUUGAUGGCAGAGGAACUGAAGGCAGAAAACAAAGAUGAUGGACAUGCUUAAAGCACACUAAGUUCUGCUAAGCCAAUAUUCUCUAGAAUGAGCACAAAACAAAUCAAAUAACAGCUAAAUUAAUCGAAUAACAGCUUUUGUACAUCAGCAUCGAGAAGGAAGACGCUUGGGAGAGAUCAGAGUACCGAGAUGGAUACCGGCGAGAAUGAAGCAUCCAGCUGUCAAAGCACCUACUAACCCUAGAUCGGCAGAGAUGGGAGUGAUUUUCCUGAAAGGAGAUAUGAUCACGGAGUAAACACCAGCUCACUGGAAACUAUCAUUGAAUAAGAGCAAAUGACAUUCAUGAGAAAUCACAUUCAGGAAAUAUUUUAAGGAAGAGAAAAAUAAAUGUGCUAGAAUUAACAUGUAAAAUAUAUAUGUACUGAGGUUUGUAAACUGUCCUUUUUUAAUCAAACAGAAAACAAAAAGCUUUAAUCUUUCAACAUUAUUUUAAAAAAGGCAGUGCAUCCUAAAUUAUUCCUAUCUCAAUAGCCAAGAGGCUGAUCAACCAUCAGUUAUUGAGGAAGCGUCUUAGAAAAUGCCUCUGAAUAUUUUCAUAGGAGCCAUGACUUUUGGUUCCCAUCUCUGCCGUUCAUUUAUGUCACUGUGUAAUUAGUUACAACCACUCAGUUAAGAGAUGUUAGCAUUUCAAACUUUUUACUGAGUCUUCGUUCAGUUUAAUCUGUCUGUACCAGUUAUUACUGAGAAAGUGUUUCUGACAUAUGCUAUCACUCCAUCAAGCUGUAUAUUACAGGAAGUACAUCUUUACAUCACAGGUUCCUGAGCAACAUAGACUUCCCUAUCUUUCAGGAAACAACAUCAAGAAACUCUGAAAAAUAUAGAAAGCUCAUUUUCACCUUGAAUGCUCACAUGUAAUAUAUAGGCUGCUAUCAAAUAAACACUUUUUCUAAUUGCCCCUAGUAAUAUGUAUAAGAAUUUAAUAUACUUUACAAAUAAACAUCUAAAAUAUCUUCUUUUUCUAUUUCUUUGUCAUAUCAUCAGAAAUCCAUAUCCUUUCUUUCCCUUACUUUCCCUUACUAACACCAUUCCAUUAAACCUAUUUCUAAAUGAUAGUAAGUGGCACUAACAAAAUAAAUAAUAAUUUAAUAGCCUUAGAACUAAAUGAACAUAUACUUAAUACAGGUCAAAGAAACUUGGUAGGAAUAAGUUGCCUUUUUGUUUACUAAUUUUAGUUUCAAGAACACUCUGUUUGUUGAUUGUUUGUUUUUAGCUGAUUGGCAUUUAGAAGUAGUGACAAAUGAUCAGUUGUCUUCAACAAUCUUUUGCUCCCAGGCAUCCCCCACCAUCACCCUCAUCACAUAUCCUGCAAUAUGCAGCAACAGAAAAAUAUUUAGUAUUGAAGUAGCCAAUUGCUUGAGAAUGACACAAGCUAAAAUGUACGUGCAGGAAUCAUCAGUAUAAGCCGAACCAUAUUCUAUACCUGAGCAGAAAACAUGAACAUGUAGAAUGCCUUCAUUUUUUAACUCAAAAUUAAGAUCCGUUUAGUAUAUAUUAUUGGAACAAUGGAGAGUAAUACAAGAAGAAUCAACCAAGACACAAAUCAUGGUUGAUUUCUCUUAUCCUGUCUCACACUCUAGUUUUGUCAAUGUCUCUGGUAUUAGCAUCUUUUCACCCCAGAUGAGUUUUAUGUUUCAAAUGGCUAAAAAGUAUAUUACAGAUACAGUCAAAUAAGUGACACGCAAUUCACAAAGAUAUGGAUUUUCUAAAGAACCACAUUAGGGGAGUACUUAUUAUCUCUAAAGUAUUAGCUGUUCUGGGAGUUAUUUGUUGCUUUAAAUAUUAGCUCUCCCUCUGCAUUCAAAACACCCUACUUACUAAAUUUAAUUACACACAACUUUUCAAGAAUUCAUCUUUUAGUUAAGGGGAGGUACCGCUCUACUUUACCUAUAAUAAAAAUAGAAGGUAUUGGCUUUCUUUAAUCCGUGUAAAUUGUAGAUUCCACUGGGAGUCCUGCAACACUAAUAGUGGUGUUUAUGAAAAUGAAAAAGUGCUUCCUAUCCACAUGCAAGUGUUUUUAAGAGGUUGUUUUCCUUCUAAAAAACCUAAGUGUAAUUUAGCAUACCAUAGUGCUCUGAAGAUGGGUCAUUGAUGUGUACCAUUUGUACAUAGGUAAAACACAUGUAAAUCACUAGAUGUUAAUGAAGAGGUAUGUUUUUAUCUUUUUUAAAAAAAAGUGACUCCCUUUCUCAUUCUGUUCUGUUGUAUUGCGUCCAAAAGUUGUGUGUAAUUUUUUAAGGUCCAGGAAAUGUAAAGAAAUUUGUUGGAAUAUCUGAAUUUCUGUAAAAAAUAAAAAUAAGAUUUUGUUAUUUAAAAGGUG